AUUGAACGCUGGCGGCAUGCCUUACACAUGCAAGUCGAACGGUAACAGGUCUUCGGAUGCUGACGAGUGGCGAACGGGUGAGUAAUACGUAGGGACCUGACUUUUAGAGGGGGACAACCAAGGGAAACUUUGGCUAAUACCGCAUACACUCGAGAGAGGAAAGUUGCCCGCAAGGGUGAUACUAGAAGAGGGGCCUGCGUCCGAUUAGCUAGUUGGUGAGGUAAAGGCUCACCAAGGCGAUGAUCGGUAACUGGUCUGAGAGGACGACCAGUCACACUGGGACUGAGACACGGCCCAGACGCCUACGGGAGGCAGCAGUGGGGAAUCUUGGACAAUGGGGGCAACCCUGAUCCAGCGAUGCCGCGUGGGUGAAGAAGGCCUUCGGGUUGUAAAGCCCUUUAGGUUGGGAAAAAGUGUGAGGGAAGAUAAUGCCCUUACAUUGAUUGUACCGACAGAAUAAGCACCGGCAAACUCUGUGCCAGCAGCCGCCGUAA
RNAcentral lists this ribosomal RNA (494 nucleotides) under uncultured bacterium. RNAcentral describes it as "partial 16S ribosomal RNA". It matches the Rfam family "Bacterial small subunit ribosomal RNA", at positions 30 to 523 of the family's 1533-position model. The record is from RNAcentral.